GCGAACAUAACUUAAUGGUAAAGUUUUGGUCUUCCAAACCAAAAAUGCGAGUUCAAAUCUCGCUGUUCGCU
This 71-nucleotide transfer RNA is filed under the name Emiliania huxleyi. RNAcentral's name for it is "tRNA-Gly". It matches the Rfam family "tRNA". From Rfam's summary of the family: Transfer RNA (tRNA) molecules are approximately 80 nucleotides in length. Their secondary structure includes four short double-helical elements and three loops (D, anti-codon, and T loops). The record is from RNAcentral. Lineage: Eukaryota; Haptophyta; Isochrysidales; Noelaerhabdaceae. RNAcentral also lists the same sequence under 4 other names.